UGCAGCCUUGUCAAAUUCAGUGCAUCCUUCUCAGUGGGUGAUACUGGCCAAAAUGGCUGCAACAUUAAAAGUGUAGUUUGUGGGCCCCAUUGUGCUUCCACGUGGUCUAUGGGCAUAGGUAUGGACUACACACAAAC
Molecule: non-coding RNA, 137 nt
Organism: Nerophis lumbriciformis (worm pipefish)
Lineage: Eukaryota; Metazoa; Chordata; Actinopteri; Syngnathiformes; Syngnathidae
Source: RefSeq, a predicted model, not a curated record